Molecule: long non-coding RNA, 207 nt
Filed under: Lonchura striata (white-rumped munia)
Lineage: Eukaryota; Metazoa; Chordata; Aves; Passeriformes; Estrildidae
Description: domestica (Bengalese finch) lncRNA (ENSLSDG00000017658.1)
Source: RNAcentral
UUCCUGAUCUAUCUAGGGCCCAGUUGGUUUUCCUGGAGAUCCUGGUCCCCCUGGGGAACCUGGUCCAGCUGGUCAGGAUGGUGGUGGUGGAGAGAAGGGUGAAGAUGGUGAUCCUGGUCAACCUGGUCCACCAGGUCCUUCAGGUGAAGCUGGCCCACCGGGUCCUCCUGGGAAAAGAGUAAGGAAUAUCUCCUCUUCUCUCGUAUA